GGUUGCGAUCAUAACAGCACUAAUGCACCGGAUCCCAUUAGAACUCCGCAGUUUAGGGUGCUUGGGCGAGAGUAGUACUAGGAUGGGUGACCCCCUGGGAAAUCCUCGUGUUGCAACCC
RNAcentral lists this ribosomal RNA (119 nucleotides) under Helianthus annuus (common sunflower). The record is from RNAcentral. Lineage: Eukaryota; Viridiplantae; Streptophyta; Magnoliopsida; Asterales; Asteraceae.